AGGAAAAUAAACCGAUUCGAAAGAGAAUACUUCUACUUACACGAGAUAAUUCACACAAAACGCUGCGUAUCGUCCCAAGUAUGGUAGAUGUAGAAACGAUCGUGAAAAUAGAAGAGAAAAAGUACAAAAGAUGGCGCGCGUACCGGAGAAAAAGAAAAAGCAGGAAGAGAAGAAGAAAGAAGAGAGAGUAUUUUUCGGAUGGGAUUUAUCUUCCCCCGAUUGUCCGUGAAUUCGAACGACUAAAUCACGCGAAUUUCAUUUCUGUCCGACUCGAGGACAUUACCGUUCGUUUCUACGGUUCUGUGAGCGAGGAACGAUCCCCGGUCCCUUCGUCUCCGGUCAUCGCCGCUGAUAUCGGCCGUUUUUCUUCUCGGCAAACUGCCUUCUCUUCGUUCCGGAGGGACGGUGGCGCAAACCUGGCGGACACCCUUAAUUGCCUUUCCCCGAAAAGCUGCUGGUGCUUCCACCGAAAGCUAAAAAAUUCUUCCCACGCGAUCUCUUAAAGCACUGCGAGAAAAUCCCUUUCCUUUCUCUUAGGAGAACUUAUAUUCCCCUGUACCGUUGACACCCUCGGCUCUCGAGUUCUAUUAAAGUAUACGAUCUUGCUACUCGUGUGUCGAAAUAAAAAGGCAAAGUCAUUUUUUCUUACUUUCAAUCGGCCCCAAAUUAAUGGACUAUUUUUACGGCGCUCGAUAACGUCGUAACCGUCGUUUUUCUUCGUAAAUUACAAACGCGAGUAUGUAGGACGACCUUUUCGUCUUAUUCUUACUUAAAAAUUUCUUCGAUACGAAAUGAAACGUUAAUUAGUUCCAAUACGCUUGGGCUUUAGUAAAAAAAUUCUCGGAGAGUUUCUUUUGAAACAGCAGCUCUUUCUCUCUCUCUCGCUCUCGCUCCCUCUUUAUCGAAAAAAGAGUCUGCUCGCUUACGUCGUACGCUCCGUAUCAGAAAAUCUUGGUAAUGCGAUUCCUAACGAAGUCGAUUCAAAGCGAUGGCGUACGUUGUAGGACGUGCGAUUGACAGGAAAUUAGUUCUCGACUAUCAUCGUCAAAUUACGGAAAUCAAUCCGCAUCGCUUGUCAUCGUACGUUCGAUACUACGCAAACGAGAAUUGGAAAUGAUGAUAGAACAUAGACGCGCACGACACACGGAUUUCAAACGACAAAGUUCCCACAGCGAAGCGAGUCCUGCAAGUAUCGAAUUCUCGAAUCGUCUGUCGUGACUUCCCAACUCGGCGUUCGAUCGACUUGUGUCGAAAGGAUGACAAACUCUACGUAUAUACGUCGGAGGAAAGGUAAACUCGCUAGAGGGAAUAACGAUAUAUCUAUGUACGAAAUAAAGGAAAACAUAAAUAAAGCGUUGCGAUUAUCGUUAUCGUUGUUUCUUCGAAACUUACGUAAAUAAAGAAAGAAACUAACGUAGAAGAAGGACGGGGAAAGAAAAGGACGGAAAAAUCGUGGAGAAACGAGAUCCGGCUUCGUUCUUGGAUAGCGCUGACGAUCGAACGAGGAAAGUGGAACACGCAUAAUGCAUGCCUGUGUAACUUGAUCCUUCUCUAUAGAUAUAAGUCGAUCACGGAGGAUAGCCCCUCGUACACACACCGUCUCGGAGGACGCACACGUAUGAUCCACACGGGCGCGCGCGAGGGAACACGCAAAAUAUACUUUUAAGCGGCCACACGCAUAUUGUACAAGUGAAAGAACGUUGUACCAGGCUCGCGGAUCGAAGUCGGUAAACCUUCCGAUUAAAGUAACAUACAUACAUAUACGACGACGCCUAUGGAUAUCUUUCUGUCUGUCUCUAUUUCUGUGUGAAAAUGCGUGUAUGUUUGUGUACGGUUAACGAGCGUGUUCGAACACGGAACACGGCCGUUCCUCUUCGUUACCCUUAAUCUCCCUCGUUCUUUAACCAACUGUCUUCCUCUCUCUAACCCAAGAGUCCAAGUCGAUUGAUCUUUCUCGACGUCUAGUGCCUUCGAUCGCGAGUCAGGAAGCAAGUGACAACCAAGGAAGGAAGGAAGGAAGGAAGAAACGAAGCAAGGAGCAAGAAAACAAAAUAGAUGAAAAAAUGAAAACAAAGUAGGAAGAAUCUCUCUUCCGCGACGCCUACUCGGACUUUUCUCCUUAUCGCUUCUUUAUUUUCUCUCUCGCUUUCUCUUUCUCCCUUUAGAAAUGGUAGAAUCUAGAAAUACAAGUAGUAACUCGGGAAAGUAGGAAAAAAUGUGCGACAAGCUUUUUUCCUCCUAUUUUCUAGAGCUAUGGUAUUUAUUGUUAGUUGAACAUCGAGCCACUACGUAACCACUACCAUCGCCGGCGUUAACGGGGAGCAGCAAGAUGAAGUGGAAAAGAAAGAAAAAAAAGAAAGAGAAAAAAGAAAAAAAAAGAAAAGAAAAGAAAAAAGGAAAAGACAGGAAAAAAAACGAAUGUUCCACGUCGUCACGCUUCGAUCGUCCGUGACGUCCUUCCCGUUAUGUCCCUCGGCAAACUCUGGUAAACCCUGUCGGCCCAUUUCACGGUUCUUUGCUCGCGAGAUUCACGGUGAUUAGGGUGCGAACGCGCGGUCAAAUGUAAAAAAAACGAGAUGUUGCCUCGUCGUUGAAAAGACGUUCGAAAAGUGACGUAGAAUGAAGAAAGAACAAAGAGAGAUCCGAGAUUUUCGCCCUUACGAUUGUUUCACGACUGGAGAAGAAAUAAUUGAAAUCGUUGAAUGAAAAAUUGCAAUUUUAUCCGACGAAAACGUCGCACGAUUCGUACGAGAAAAAUCAAAAAGUAAUACUAUUCUUCCUAGAUAGUACUAGUCUAUUAAAAAACGAGAGAAAGAGAGAGGGGGGAGGGAGAGAAAGA
Vespula vulgaris is the source of this 2839-nucleotide long non-coding RNA. RefSeq lists it as uncharacterized. The transcript is spliced from 2 exons. The record is from RefSeq and is a predicted model, not a curated record. Lineage: Eukaryota; Metazoa; Arthropoda; Insecta; Hymenoptera; Vespidae.